This 253-nucleotide ribosomal RNA is filed under the name uncultured bacterium. RNAcentral's name for it is "partial 16S ribosomal RNA". It matches the Rfam family "Bacterial small subunit ribosomal RNA", at positions 524 to 776 of the family's 1533-position model. The record is from RNAcentral.
UACGUAGGGCGCAAGCGUUGUCCGGAAUUAUUGGGCGUAAAGAGCUCGUAGGCGGUUUGUCGCGUCUGCUGUGAAAGUCCAGGGCUCAACCCUGGGAUGCCGGUGGAUACUGUCGGACUAGAGUACGGAAGAGGCGAGUGGAAUUCCCGGUGUAGCGGUGAAAUGCGCAGAUAUCGGGAGGAACACCAAUUGCGAAGGCAGCUCGCUGGGACGUUACUGACGCUGAGACGCGAAAGCGUGGGGAGCAAACAGG